RNAcentral lists this ribosomal RNA (123 nucleotides) under Nomascus leucogenys (northern white-cheeked gibbon). Lineage: Eukaryota; Metazoa; Chordata; Mammalia; Primates; Hylobatidae. The record is from RNAcentral.
UUCUAUGGCUAUACCACCUUGGAACGUGCCUGAUCUUGUUUGAUGUUGGAAACUAAGUAGGCUUGGACCUGGUUCUAAUUUGAUGGGAGAGUAUUUAGAUAGAUUACUUCUGGGCCACAAGGA